GACGAACGCUGGCGGCGUGCUUAACACAUGCCAGUCGAACGGAAAGGCCCUGCUUUUGUGGGGUGCUCGAGUGGCGAACGGGUGAGUAACACGUGAGUAACCUGCCCUUGACUUUGGGAUAACUUCAGGAAACUGGGGCUAAUACCGGAUAGGAGCUCCUGCUGCAUAGUGGGGGUUGGAAAGUUUCGGCGGUUGGGGAUGGACUCGCGGCUUAUCAGCUUGUUGGUGGGGUAGUGGCUUACCAAGGCUUUGACGGGUAGCCGGCCUGAGAGGGUGACCGGCCACAUUGGGACUGAGAUACGGCCCAGACUCCUACGGGAGGCAGCAGUGGGGAAUAUUGCACAAUGGGCGGAAGCCUGAUGCAGCAACGCCGCGUGCGGGAUGACGGCCUUCGGGUUGUAAACCGCUUUCGCCUGUGACGAAGCGUGAGUGACGGUAAUGGGUAAAGAAGCACCGGCUAACUACGUG
RNAcentral lists this ribosomal RNA (468 nucleotides) under uncultured bacterium. RNAcentral describes it as "partial 16S ribosomal RNA". It matches the Rfam family "Bacterial small subunit ribosomal RNA", at positions 28 to 507 of the family's 1533-position model. The record is from RNAcentral.